This 1440-nucleotide ribosomal RNA is filed under the name uncultured bacterium. RNAcentral describes it as "bacterial SSU rRNA". It matches the Rfam family "Bacterial small subunit ribosomal RNA". The record is from RNAcentral.
AACGCUGGCGGCGUGCCUAAUACAUGCAAGUCGAGCGGACAGAAGGGAGCUUGCUCCCGGAUGUUAGCGGCGGACGGGUGAGUAACACGUGGGUAACCUGCCUGUAAGACUGGGAUAACUCCGGGAAACCGGAGCUAAUACCGGAUAGUUCCUUGAACCGCAUGGUUCAAGGAUGAAAGACGGAUUUCGGCUGUCACUUACAGAUGGACCCGCGGCGCAUUAGCUAGUUGGUGGGGUAAUGGCUCAACAAGGCGACGAUGCGUAGCCGACCUGAGAGGGUGAUCGGCCACACUGGGACUGAGACACGGCCCAGACUCCUACGGGAGGCAGCAGUAGGGAAUCUUCCGCAAUGGACGAAGGUCUGACGGAGCAACGCCGCGUGAGUGAUGAAGGUUUUCGGAUCGUAAAGCUCUGUUGUUAGGGAAGAACAAAGUGCGAGAGUAAACUGCUCGCACCUUGACGGUACCUAACCAGAAAAGCCACGGCUAACUACGUUGCCAGCAGCCCGCGGUAAUACGUAGGGUGGCAAGCGUUGGUCCGGAAUUAUUUGGGGCGUAAAAGAGGCUUCGAAGGCGGUUUCCUUAAGUUUGAUGGUGAAAACCCCCGGCUCAACCGGGGGAAGGGUCAUUUGGAAACUGGGAAACUUUGACUGCCAAAAAGGAAAUGGAAUUCCACGUGUACGCUGAAUGCCUGAAAAAUUUGGAGACCCCAGUGGCGAAGCCGACUCUCUGGUCUGUAACUGACGCUGAGGCGCGAAAGCGUGGGGAGCGAACAGGAUUAGAUACCCUGGUAGUCCACGCCGUAAACGAUGAGUGCUAAGUGUUAGGGGGUUUCCGCCCCUUAGUGCUGCAGCUAACGCAUUAAGCACUCCGCCUGGGGAGUACGGUCGCAAGACUGAAACUCAAAGGAAUUGACGGGGGCCCGCACAAGCGGUGGAGCAUGUGGUUUAAUUCGAAGCAACGCGAAGAACCUUACCAGGUCUUGACAUCCUCUGACAACCCUAGAGAUAGGGCUUUCCCUUCGGGGGACAGAGUGACAGGUGGUGCAUGGUUGUCGUCAGCUCGUGUCGUGAGAUGUUGGGUUAAGUCCCGCAACGAGCGCAACCCUUGAUCUUAGUUGCCAGCAUUCAGUUGGGCACUCUAAGGUGACUGCCGGUGACAAACCGGAGGAAGGUGGGGAUGACGUCAAAUCAUCAUGCCCCUUAUGACCUGGGCUACACACGUGCUACAAUGGACAGAACAAAGGGCUGCAAGACCGCAAGGUUUAGCCAAUCCCAUAAAUCUGUUCUCAGUUCGGAUCGCAGUCUGCAACUCGACUGCGUGAAGCUGGAAUCGCUAGUAAUCGCGGAUCAGCAUGCCGCGGUGAAUACGUUCCCGGGCCUUGUACACACCGCCCGUCACACCACGAGAGUUUGCAACACCCGAAGUCGGUGAGGUAACC